GUUGCCGAUUCACUCUAAUGAUUGUUUCUUUUGCUGUGCAGAAGCUCCGAAGUUGAAUUAGGUCCCAUCUAGUUAUUUUUGUUUUUGUUGCAUUUGCUUUUGGGUUCUUAGUCAUGAAUUCUUUGCCUAAGUCAAUGUC
Molecule: long non-coding RNA, 139 nt
Organism: Sapajus apella (tufted capuchin)
Lineage: Eukaryota; Metazoa; Chordata; Mammalia; Primates; Cebidae
Exons: 3
Source: RefSeq, a predicted model, not a curated record